CCUAACGGGCGGCUGCAGUGGGGAAUAUUGGACAAUGGGCGAAAGCCUGAUCCAGCCAUGCCGCGUGUGUGAAGAAGGCCUUCGGGUUGUAAAGCACUUUCAGUGGGGAAGAAAGCCUUGGGGCUAAUACCCUCGAGGAAGGACAUCACCCACAGAAGAAGCACCGGCUAACUCCGUGCCAGCAGCCGCGGUAAUACGGAGGGUGCGAGCGUUAAUCGGAAUUACUGGGCGUAAAGCGCGCGUAGGCGGUCUGAUAAGCCGGUUGUGAAAGCCCCGGGCUCAACCUGGGAACGGCAUCCGGAACUGUCAGGCUAGAGUGCAGGAGAGGAAGGUAGAAUUCCCGGUGUAGCGGUGAAAUGCGUAGAGAUCGGGAGGAAUACCAGUGGCGAAGGCGGCCUUCUGGACUGACACUGACGCUGAGGUGCGAAAGCGUGGGUAGCAAACAGGAUUAGAUACCCCAGUAGUC
This 466-nucleotide ribosomal RNA is filed under the name Vreelandella stevensii. Its description in RNAcentral is "partial 16S ribosomal RNA". It matches the Rfam family "Bacterial small subunit ribosomal RNA", at positions 338 to 795 of the family's 1533-position model. Lineage: Bacteria; Pseudomonadati; Pseudomonadota; Gammaproteobacteria; Oceanospirillales; Halomonadaceae. The record is from RNAcentral.